RNAcentral lists this ribosomal RNA (466 nucleotides) under uncultured bacterium. RNAcentral's name for it is "partial 16S ribosomal RNA". It matches the Rfam family "Bacterial small subunit ribosomal RNA", at positions 28 to 507 of the family's 1533-position model. The record is from RNAcentral.
GAUGAACGCUGGCGGCGUGCUUAACACAUGCAAGUCGAACGGAAAGGCUCCUGCUUGCAGGGGUACUCGAGUGGCGAACGGGUGAGUAACACGUGGGUGAUCUGCCCUGCACUUCGGGAUAAGCCUGGGAAACUGGGUCUAAUACCGGAUAGGACGAUGGUUUGGAUGCCAUUGUGGAAAGUUUUGUCGGUGUGGGAUGAGCUCGCGGCCUAUCAGCUUGUUGGUGGGGUAAUGGCCUACCAAGGCGUCGACGGGUAGCCGGCCUGAGAGGGUGUACGGCCACAUUGGGACUGAGAUACGGCCCAGACUCCUACGGGAGGCAGCAGUGGGGAAUAUUGCACAAUGGGCGCAAGCCUGAAGCAGCGACGCCGCGUGGGGGAUGACGGCCUUCGGGUUGUAAACUCCUUUCGCUAGGGACGAAGCGCAAGUGACGGUACCUGGAGAAGAAGCACCGGCUAACUACGUG